This 804-nucleotide long non-coding RNA is filed under the name Salmo salar (Atlantic salmon). RNAcentral's name for it is "lncRNA (ENSSSAG00000085605.1)". Lineage: Eukaryota; Metazoa; Chordata; Actinopteri; Salmoniformes; Salmonidae. The record is from RNAcentral.
CUAUACAGGAAGUGCCCUCUCUGACCAUUUCUUGGCCUUCUAUAGCCUCUUUAUCGAAAACAGAGGAUCUCUGCUGUAACGUGACAUUUUCUAAGGCUCCCAUAAGCUCUCAGAAGGCGCCAGAACGGGGAAUGAUGACUCUGCAGUCCCUGGGCGAAAAACAGUAGGGGAUUUGGAUAGUGGUCGAUCUGAGAACAAUGACACGGGCGUGCACGUGAAGACACCAUUUUCUUCUUUCAGUCUUUGAACGAAAACAACGUCUCCCGGUCGGAAUAUUAUCGCUAUUUUACGAGAAAAAUCGCAAAAAAAAUGAUUUUAAACAGCGUUUGACAUGCUUCGAAGUACGGUAAUGGAAUAUUUUGAAUUUUUUUGUCACGAUACGCGUCGGCGCGUCACCCUUCGAAUAGUGUCUUGAACGCAAGAACAAAAUGCCGCUAUUUGGAUAUAACUAUGGAUUAUUUGGAACCAAAACAACAUUGGGUGUAAAGUAGAAGAGUGGGUGUAAAGUAGAAGAGUGCAUUCUGACGAAGAACAGCAAAGGCUAUGUACAAAACCUGCUGGAUUUAUUGUUCAGCAGUGUGGUGGGAACCCCCCUACCAUACCUGGAGCUGUUACAGAAGGCUGAGGCAGUGGCCAGACACCAGAGUAAUGGAGGACACUUCAAUCAGCAACGUUGGCACACCCUGUGGGGUUUUCUUCCUUCUCGUUCUCCCUCAGACGGACAGAUGGAUGGAGUGACGGACUGGGGGAGGUUGUUGACCUGUCUGAUCUGUCUGCCUCGACGUGUUGACCUCAGCAGCCUAU